This 253-nucleotide ribosomal RNA is filed under the name uncultured bacterium. RNAcentral describes it as "partial 16S ribosomal RNA". It matches the Rfam family "Bacterial small subunit ribosomal RNA", at positions 524 to 776 of the family's 1533-position model. The record is from RNAcentral.
UACGAAGGGGGCUAGCGUUGCUCGGAAUCACUGGGCGUAAAGGGUGCGUAGGCGGGUCUUUAAGUCAGGGGUGAAAUCCUGGAGCUCAACUCCAGAACUGCCUUUGAUACUGAGGAUCUUGAGUACGGGAGAGGUGAGUGGAACUGCGGGUGUAGAGGUGAAAUUCGUAGAUAUUCGCAAGAACACCAGUGGCGAAGGCGGCUCACUGGCCCGUAACUGACGCUGAGGCACGAAAGCGUGGGGAGCAAACAGG